GGCAGCGACCCUAGAUAGUGGUCAGGAGAGUGUGAGGGUUUACGAAAGUGUUUACUGAUCGAUCCAAAUAAAAGUGAAAUGUGUGGUCGGGUGCGGUGGCCCACCUCUGUAAUCCCAGCACUUUGGAAGGCCGAGGCGGGCGGAUCACCUGAGAUCAGGAGUUCGAGACCAGCCUGGCCAACAUGGCGAAACCCCGUCUCAAUUGAAAAUACAAACAUUAGCCGGGCAUGGUGGCAGACGCCUGUAAUCCCAGCUACUCGGGAGGCUGAGGAAGGAAAAUCGCUGGAACCCGGGAGGCGGAGGCUGCAGUGAGCCGAGAUCGCGCCAUUGCACUCCAGCCUGGGCGACAAGAGCGAAACUCCGUCUCAAAAAAAAAGAGAAGAAAAAGUGAAAUGUGGAUGUAACAACGCACUUUUAAAAAAUAGUCUAAACAUCUGAGGAAUGUGUCUGUGUUUGCAGCGUCCAGCCAGCACAGAGAUUGCUCUCAAGGGAUGUAGGAACGACUGAUUGAACGUGAACUGCGGUCAUUAAAUCUUUUAUGUCUGUGUUAAUGUCUACAAAUAAGCCUUAAUUUCUGUAGUUGCUGCAUAUCUCACACGGCUCCUGGCAAACUGAAGAGUGUUUCAUGAAUUCAGGACUUCAUUGUGUUUGCUGUGAAUCAGUUUGUUUUGUACUGACGAUGAUGUUGGCUAACUCCCUGAUAACCAGUACUUAUUUGAAAUAAUGUUCUCGGGAUUAUUUUAAGCACUGUCUGCCUUCCAAUCCAUGCUCCACACUGCGGCCGCCACCACCUCCUCUGAAGAGAAGAAUAUGUGGUUCUGGCUCAUGAAUCAUGUAAUGAACCCAGCCGAGACGCUGUUGGACACAAGUCUCCUCCACUCCUCUUCAGACAUCAGAUGAGUUUUCGGUACUUGUUUGGAAAGUUCUCUGGGUAACAUAACAUGCCGGUACUUGUAGUGCUCCUCGAAGUACUUUUCCGGGUAAUAGAUCUGCUGUGGGCCAUCCUGCUGGCACGCUGCAGGAAAUGAAAGGCGAGCGCUAAGAGGGGAAAUGAAAGAGAGUGCGAAGAGGGGAAAUGAAAGAGAGCGCGAAGAGGGGAAAUGAAAGAGAGUGCGAAGAGGGGGUGCAGAAGGCAACAUGUCCCCGUCCGGCCAAGGCAACGAUUGAUUUGCGAGAGACUAACCGGAUCCCGCAUCUCUUGUGGGUCCCCAUAGACACAUAGCAGAUGAAGCAAUCAGACAGGAUUUUUAUGCUCAGAGAGCUAAUAUGAGACCUGUCCCCAGUGGAGAUGGGCACGUGUCCAGAGAGGGGCUUCAGCACUGUGCUCCCCCCCCUUCCCCAAUGCCUGUCCACAUGGGAAAACGUAAAGGCAGAAAAGCUAACCAGCUGAAUAAUGGUGAGGAGACGACCUUUUCACUAGGGAAACUUGUAAAUGCUUUGUGCACAAACCCAGGGCUCACGGAGGUAUUAACCCAGGCACUAUCAUUUAGUUUGCCAGGGUUAUACGGAGAGCACAAAAGCUGCACCUCAGCAGUUGUCACUGACAUUGAACACACGGGAAUGGGACUCCCUGCAGUUCUAUACCACCAAACCUCACAUCUCACACUAAUGUCAGGGCAACCAGUGCGUGACUUGGCGGGCACCUUCGGAGGGAAGAAAAGCCCUCAGCAUCCUCAUAGCCCAGCUUCCUCACAGCCCAGCUUCAUGGACCACAGAUUUCUUUAACAUAGCAUAAGCAAGUGGAUGAUUGUUCUAGAUUGUCACUAGUGUUAUGUCAAACCAUAUCACUGAAGUCCAUUGAAAGCUCUCUUUCUAGCAACAAACACACAGGAAAAACAUUUGCAGCUCUUGUUGCCUUUGGAUAUAUGCAUUCCCAGAAUAAACUCCUUCCUGUGAAACUAACCCUAGCACUUAGUCUGGGCAGAAAGGAAUUCUAACUCCAGUACCUUUCAACAUGCGGUUAAGAAUAUGCUAAAACUUAGACAGUCACAUACUGCAUUAUGACUUUUCAGCCAACAAUGGAUGGCAAAUAUGAUGAUUAUAAUGGAAUUGAAAAAGUACACAAUCAUGUUUUAUGAUUGUGUCUAUGACAUUACUGUACACUAUUGUAGACUUUAUAAACACUGUACACCUCACGUGUCUGUGGUGAUGCUGAUAUUAAAAACCCUACUGUCCUACCUAUGAAUGUAUAACACAUACAAUUACAUAUAGUAUAUAAUACUUGAUAAUGAUAGUAAAUGACAUGUUACUAGUUCAUGUAUUAACUAUACUAUGGUUUUUAUUGUUAUUUUACAGUAUACUCCUAUUUUUUAAAGUUAACUGUAAAACAGCCUCAGGCAGGUCCUUCAGAAAGUAUCCAGAAGAAGGCAUUGUUAUCAUAGGAGAUGACAGCUCCAUGCAUGUUAUUGACCCUGGAGACCUUCCAUUGGGACAAGAUGUGGAGGUAGAAGACAGUGAUAUUGAUGAUCCUGACCCUGUGUAGGCCUAGACUAACGUGUGUGUUCAUGUAUUUGUUUUUAACAAAAAUUUUUUUUUUAAUUUAAAAAAAUGUAAUAGAAGAAGUU
Macaca mulatta (Rhesus monkey) is the source of this 2564-nucleotide long non-coding RNA. The record is from Ensembl. NCBI's taxonomy places the organism in Eukaryota, Metazoa, Chordata, Mammalia, Primates, Cercopithecidae.